UGAUAGACGGUGGGCCGAGGGUCCGUAUCUGCUUUACUUUUCGAAAUGAAUGAUCCCUAUGGAGGGAGAACCUGGAUUUGUAAAGUUGGGACGGUUGUUUUAUUCUCAACGAUAUGAAAUGUGUUGCCACUCCCAUUUGUUGCACAUUUUCCCCGAAAUCAUAAUGCACGAUCCGUAAAUAUGCAGGCAAACGCUGUUGCCUACUAUAUUAGUUGAGCCAAUAGCGCGGCAAGAUACUGACAUGGGAUUAUUACUAUCCAAUCAGAUGUAGUUUAUUUAGAACAGCUGUUACACGAAUGAUUUAGCUAUCGGACACGAGCACCAGCAGCGCAUUGAUCGUCAAGGACAUUCUUUGUGUGAUUUGCACAAGUUCCAGUAUGACAGAUUGUCCACAUAUACAAGAUACCGGGUAUAAUCUCGAUAGCAAGUGAAGUGAUACCGUGCUUCACUAGCCACCAAGUCCCUGUCUUGGAUAUGGAGAAGGAGAGACUCGUCCCUUUUCCCUUCAGCGGCGAGUAGCAAUUUCCCGGCAUGGAGUGUUUCAUACUGUGUUUCACACUGUGUUAGAUUUUCUUUUACCCUUUUCCUGCAGUGUGACUGAACCUUGUACUUCUCAUGUUUGCAUAUAAUGCAUUGUACUGGAAGCAGCUGUGGGGCCCGCUUGGAUGUGUAGGAAUCACGGGCAUAAGAUCUCAGAGCCCUUGUUUUAACUGGAGUUGCUUCACCAUCCUCUGUCUCUACCACUAAAAGUGCAAAACAAUAGAUUUAGGUUCUGCACCCUUCCCCACAUCACUGAUUAAACAAAAAUGGUGUGUAAGUUUCAGCAGGGUAUAUUGGUUCCACCUGUUCCCUUAACACGGGUAAUAAACCUGUUUCACAGCUUUCAGGUGUCCGUCCUUGAGGUUAAUGAGGCCAUAAUAGGAAGGGUUCAUUUUUGCAGGGUGUUUUUAUUAUAUUAGUUAAUUCAUUGUGUAGCUAUAUUAAGUUAACUCAAAUCUAAACUCCCUGAAGUCAUAUCUUUCUUUUUUCUAUCUAUCCUUCUUUCUAGAUUUUUUUUUUUUCUUAUCCAUUUAUUUUUUUCUUUUUACCUGUCUAUUGAACUUUAUUGCCUUAACUUUCGGGCUAGGAUUUAAGCCAACUUAAAAGUUUGCCAAAACAUUUCAUGUAGUUUUUUGUACUAAUAUUAUGUUGUUACUGCAACUACACUGCACAUAUCUGUAUGUGUUGUUCAUACUGUAUAUCUGUUCUGCUCUUAUAUUUAAUUUAUAUUACUGUAAAUACUACUUUCUUAACUGUAUAUUACUGUCCAUUCUGCACUGUACAGGUCAAAAGUUUAGAAAACAUUACGAUUUUUAAUGUUUUUGAAAGAAGUCUCUUCUACUCAA
Carassius auratus (goldfish) is the source of this 1385-nucleotide long non-coding RNA. RefSeq lists it as uncharacterized. The transcript has 3 exons. NCBI's taxonomy places the organism in Eukaryota, Metazoa, Chordata, Actinopteri, Cypriniformes, Cyprinidae. The record is from RefSeq and is a predicted model, not a curated record.